This is a long non-coding RNA of Schistocerca gregaria, 309 nucleotides long. RefSeq lists it as uncharacterized. The transcript is spliced from 3 exons. Lineage: Eukaryota; Metazoa; Arthropoda; Insecta; Orthoptera; Acrididae. The record is from RefSeq and is a predicted model, not a curated record.
CUCACUUGGGGCGAAAUCUGGGAACUCGUCGAGGAGCUUGACUGCCGGGUCGCUGCCGACUGUAUCGACAACCACUGUGUACCGAGGUUGAACAACAUGAAAUGGAACAUGACAACGCUGCAAACAGAUGAUCUGAGGCAUCAUAUCCUGUCCCAGUCAGUGCAUGGUGUUCGACAAAUCACAAGAGCCACGGUCGGCAUGGUGAAUUGUGCGUGGUGGCGUCCUGUUCAGUUUGUGGAUAAACCUGAACUGCAGGCCCAGGCGGCUAUUUUCCGGGAACGCUUCUCCAGCUACUGGCGGGAAUUGGCG